RNAcentral lists this ribosomal RNA (481 nucleotides) under Peltodytes caesus. Its description in RNAcentral is "partial 16S ribosomal RNA". The stretch from base 359 to 481 matches the Rfam family "Bacterial large subunit ribosomal RNA", at positions 2473 to 2596 of the family's 2925-position model. Lineage: Eukaryota; Metazoa; Arthropoda; Insecta; Coleoptera; Haliplidae. The record is from RNAcentral.
ACCUGCCCAAUGAAAUUUUUAAUGGCCGCAGUAAUUUGACUGUGCAAAGGUAGCAUAAUCAUUAGUUUUUUAAUUAAAAGCUUGAAUGAAUGGUUGGACGAAAUAAAAUCUGUCUUUAUUUAAAUUAUAAUAGAAUUUAAUUUUUAAGUUAAAAAGCUUAAAUAUUUAUAAAAGACGAGAAGACCCUAUAGAUCUUUAUAUUAAUUUAAAUUAAAUUAUUUAGGAUUUAUUUAUUUUUAUUUUAUAUUAAUAUUUUAUUGGGGUAAUAAGAAGAUUAAAUUAAUUCUUUUUUUUAUUUUAUAUUAAUAUAUAUAUAUUUGAUCCUUUAAUAAAGAUUAAAAGAUUAAGUUACCUUAGGGAUAACAGCGUAAUUUUUUUAAAGAGUUCAUAUCGAUAAAAAAGUUUGCGACCUCGAUGUUGGAUUAAAAAUUAAUUUAGGUGUAGAAGCUUAAAUUUUUGGUCUGUUCGACCAUUAAAUUUU